This 1017-nucleotide ribosomal RNA is filed under the name uncultured organism. RNAcentral's name for it is "bacterial SSU rRNA". It matches the Rfam family "Bacterial small subunit ribosomal RNA", at positions 356 to 1376 of the family's 1533-position model. The record is from RNAcentral.
GAGGAAUAUUGGUCAAUGGACGAGAGUCUGAACCAGCCAAGUAGCGUGAAGGAUGACUGCCCUAUGGGUUGUAAACUUCUUUUAUACGGGAAUAAAGUGAGGCACGUGUGCCUUUUUGUAUGUACCGUAUGAAUAAGGAUCGGCUAACUCCGUGCCAGCAGCCGCGGUAAUACGGAGGAUCCGAGCGUUAUCCGGAUUUAUUGGGUUUAAAGGGAGCGUAGGCGGAUGCUUAAGUCAGUUGUGAAAGUUUGCGGCUCAACCGUAAAAUUGCAGUUGAUACUGGGUGUCUUGAGUACAGUAGAGGCAGGCGGAAUUCGUGGUGUAGCGGUGAAAUGCUUAGAUAUCACGAAGAACUCCGAUUGCGAAGGCAGCUUGCUGGACUGUAACUGACGCUGAUGCUCGAAAGUGUGGGUAUCAAACAGGAUUAGAUACCCUGGUAGUCCACACAGUAAACGAUGAAUACUCGCUGUUUGCGAUAUACAGUAAGCGGCCAAGCGAAAGCGUUAAGUAUUCCACCUGGGGAGUACGCCGGCAACGGUGAAACUCAAAGGAAUUGACGGGGGCCCGCACAAGCGGAGGAACAUGUGGUUUAAUUCGAUGAUACGCGAGGAACCUUACCCGGGCUUGAAUUGCAACUGAAUGAUGUGGAGACAUGUCAGCCGCAAGGCAGUUGUGAAGGUGCUGCAUGGUUGUCGUCAGCUCGUGCCGUGAGGUGUCGGCUUAAGUGCCAUAACGAGCGCAACCCUUAUCGAUAGUUACCAUCAGGUUAUGCUGGGGACUCUGUCGAGACUGCCGUCGUAAGAUGUGAGGAAGGUGGGGAUGACGUCAAAUCAGCACGGCCCUUACGUCCGGGGCUACACACGUGUUACAAUGGGGGGUACAGAAGGCAGCUACACGGCGACGUGAUGCUAAUCCCGAAAGCCUCUCUCAGUUCGGAUUGGAGUCUGCAACCCGACUCCAUGAAGCUGGAUUCGCUAGUAAUCGCGCAUCAGCCACGGCGCGGUGAAUACGUUCCCG